AGAGUUUGAUCCUGGCUCAGAUUGAACGCUGGCGGCAGGCCUAACACAUGCAAGUCGAGCGGUAGCACGGGAGAGCUUGCUCUCUGGGUGACGAGCGGCGGACGGGUGAGUAAUGUCUGGGGAUCUGCCUGAUGGAGGGGGAUAACUACUGGAAACGGUAGCUAAUACCGCAUAACGUCGCAAGACCAAAGAGGGGGACCUUCGGGCCUCUUGCCAUCAGAUGAACCCAGAUGGGAUUAGCUAGUAGGUGGGGUAAUGGCUCACCUAGGCGACGAUCCCUAGCUGGUCUGAGAGGAUGACCAGCCACACUGGAACUGAGACACGGUCCAGACUCCUACGGGAGGCAGCAGUGGGGAAUAUUGCACAAUGGGCGCAAGCCUGAUGCAGCCAUGCCGCGUGUAUGAAGAAGGCCUUCGGGUUGUAAAGUACUUUCAGCGAGGAGGAAGGCGUUAAGGUUAAUAACCUUAGCGAUUGACGUUACUCGCAGAAGAAGCACCGGCUAACUCCGUGCCAGCAGCCGCGGUAAUACGGAGGGUGCAAGCGUUAAUCGGAAUUACUGGGCGUAAAGCGCACGCAGGCGGUUUGUUAAGUCGGAUGUGAAAUCCCCGGGCUCAACCUGGGAACUGCAUUCGAAACUGGCAAGCUUGAGUCUUGUAGAGGGGGGUAGAAUUCCAGGUGUAGCGGUGAAAUGCGUAGAGAUCUGGAGGAAUACCGGUGGCGAAGGCGGCCCCCUGGACAAAGACUGACGCUCAGGUGCGAAAGCGUGGGGAGCAAACAGGAUUAGAUACCCUGGUAGUCCACGCCGUAAACGAUGUCGACUUGGAGGUUGUGCCCUUGAGGCGUGGCUUCCGGAGCUAACGCGUUAAGUCGACCGCCUGGGGAGUACGGCCGCAAGGUUAAAACUCAAAUGAAUUGACGGGGGCCCGCACAAGCGGUGGAGCAUGUGGUUUAAUUCGAUGCAACGCGAAGAACCUUACCUACUCUUGACAUCCAGAGAACUUUCCAGAGAUGGAUUGGUGCCUUCGGGAACUCUGAGACAGGUGCUGCAUGGCUGUCGUCAGCUCGUGUUGUGAAAUGUUGGGUUAAGUCCCGCAACGAGCGCAACCCUUAUCCUUUGUUGCCAGCGGUUCGGCCGGGAACUCAAAGGAGACUGCCAGUGAUAAACUGGAGGAAGGUGGGGAUGACGUCAAGUCAUCAUGGCCCUUACGAGUAGGGCUACACACGUGCUACAAUGGCGCAUACAAAGAGAAGCGACCUCGCGAGAGCAAGCGGACCUCAUAAAGUGCGUCGUAGUCCGGAUUGGAGUCUGCAACUCGACUCCAUGAAGUCGGAAUCGCUAGUAAUCGUAGAUCAGAAUGCUACGGUGAAUACGUUCCCGGGCCUUGUACACACCGCCCGUCACACCAUGGGAGUGGGUUGCAAAAGAAGUAGGUAGCUUAACCUUCGGGAGGGCGCUUACCACUUUGUGAUUCAUGACUGGGGUGAAGUCGUAACAAGGUAACC
This 1503-nucleotide ribosomal RNA is filed under the name Cedecea neteri. RNAcentral's name for it is "bacterial SSU rRNA". It matches the Rfam family "Bacterial small subunit ribosomal RNA". Lineage: Bacteria; Pseudomonadati; Pseudomonadota; Gammaproteobacteria; Enterobacterales; Enterobacteriaceae. The record is from RNAcentral.